GGCCUUAUUUCUUCGGUUUUUGACCUGGCUUAGCUCUACGGACUACCCUCGCGCGUUUUUCCUUGAACUAGAUGACAUCGGUUUCCUAUCUACUCUCUUUCGGCUUUCACUCGGACUGUUUACGGACUGCUUUGCCUUCUCCCUUAAACUAGUCGACAUCGGUACCUUACCACCCUAUGUCCCCGUCCGGACCCUUCAGCAGGUGUGUGGUGUGCGAUCGCAAAAUUCCCCACCAGGACGGCCACGAUACUUGUUUGUAUUGUUUGGGGGAAUCGCACAACUCCAAAACUUGCCCACACUGCAAAGCUUUCACUAAAGCCGCUCUUAAGGCUCGCCAGCAGCGCCUUAAGCUUCACCUGUGGGAGUCAACAUUGUCUUCCACAGCGCCCUCGGAGGGGGAGAUGGCUUCCACUUCCAGAGCAGCUCCCGUACAAUCGGUAGUCUCCAAGGUUUCGAAAAUGUCGAAAAAGUCCGCGGCGUCGAAGUCGGCCACUCUUGCGUCGAACCCCGAGCCCCCGGCUCCUGCUCCACCAAAAGCUAAACCAUCCAAAUCGUCGAGAACCAAGGCAUCUGCCAAGCCUAAGGUUACGUCCCUUCGACUUUCUCCAAGCUCGGGGUCGAUACCGUCACCGAUACUCGAGGGGUUGUCGAGACGCUUUGAAGCUUCGUCCGACGCACCCGCUCCACCUCCGGUUCGACGCACUGAAGCCGUGCUACCGCCGGAAAUGUCUUCCCCGACGCCGAGCCAGCUAGUUGGAGCCACUACUGGCCUGGCUUCUGCCCCACAUAGCCCAUCUCCUGCGGGCCAGGGGUCGUCUCCCUUGUCGAUCUCGUCCGUACACUCGGACUCGAGAUCUCCACGAGACAAGGCGCCUCGCUCACCCGUGCGUUCGAGGUCGAAAUCCCCUCGAGACAAACGCCCUUGCACGGAGAAACAUCGCUCCCCGAGUCGGUCCCCUUCCACCGACCACUCGAGAUCGAAGUCUCCUCGACGGAAAUGGUCAAAGAGGAAGCAUCGGGCUUCGACCCAGUCAGACUCUUCCCAUCGUUCGGACUCCAAAUCUUCGAAGCGCAAACGCUCUAGGAAGAAGCGCAGAUCACAUCGACGUCGUAGUAAACAUCGACGUCGAUCCUCUUCUUCCUAUUCAGUUGACUCGGACCGACCCAAGCGUCGUAAACAACAUCGACGUCGACAUGGUCGCUCGAGGUCUUUUUCCUCGUCUUCGACUUCCGCGUCUCCAGAUCGGCAUCAUAAGA
Molecule: long non-coding RNA, 1257 nt
Filed under: Pogona vitticeps (central bearded dragon)
Lineage: Eukaryota; Metazoa; Chordata; Lepidosauria; Squamata; Agamidae
Description: lncRNA (ENSPVIG00000004969.1)
Source: RNAcentral